This 478-nucleotide ribosomal RNA is filed under the name uncultured bacterium. RNAcentral's name for it is "partial 16S ribosomal RNA". It matches the Rfam family "Bacterial small subunit ribosomal RNA", at positions 28 to 507 of the family's 1533-position model. The record is from RNAcentral.
GAUGAACGCUAGCGGCAGGCCUAACACAUGCAAGUCGAGGGAGAAGCCCUUUCGGGGGCAGAAACCGGCGCACGGGUGCGUAACGCGUAUGCAACCUACCUUUCACAGGGGGAUAGCCCGAAGAAAUUUGGAUUAAUACCCCAUAAUAUUAUUGGAUGGCAUCAUUUGAUAAUUAAAACUGCGGUGGUGAAAGAUGGGCAUGCGUCCUAUUAGCUAGUUGGAGUGGUAACGGCACCCCAAGGCUACGAUAGGUAGGGGUCCUGAGAGGGAGAUCCCCCACACUGGUACUGAGUCAGGGACCAGACUCCUACGGGAGGCAGCAGUGAGGAAUAUUGGUCAAUGGUCGGAAGACUGAACCAGCCAUGCCGCGUGCAGGAAGAAUGCCUUAUGGGUUGUAAACUGCUUUUAUAUGGGAAGAAUAAGGCGUACGUGUACGUUGAUGACGGUACCAUAUGAAUAAGCAUCGGCUAACUCCGUG